RNAcentral lists this ribosomal RNA (524 nucleotides) under uncultured bacterium. RNAcentral describes it as "partial 16S ribosomal RNA". It matches the Rfam family "Bacterial small subunit ribosomal RNA", at positions 355 to 870 of the family's 1533-position model. The record is from RNAcentral.
UGGGGAAUUUUGGACAAUGGGCGAAAGCCUGAUCCAGCAAUGCCGCGUGUGUGAAGAAGGCCUUCGGGUUGUAAAGCACUUUUGUCCGGAAAGAAAUGGCUCUGGUUAAUACCUGGGGCUCGAUGACGGUACCGGAAGAAUAAGGACCGGCUAACUACGUGCCAGCAGCCGCGGUAAUACGUAGGGUCCAAGCGUUAAUCGGAAUUACUGGGCGUAAAGCGUGCGCAGGCGGUUGUGCAAGACCGAUGUGAAAUCCCCGAGCUUAACUUGGGAAUUGCAUUGGUGACUGCACGGCUAGAGUGUGUCAGAGGGGGGUAGAAUUCCACGUGUAGCAGUGAAAUGCGUAGAGAUGUGGAGGAAUACCGAUGGCGAAGGCAGCCCCCUGGGAUAACACUGACGCUCAUGCACGAAAGCGUGGGGAGCAAACGGGAUUAGAUACCCUGGUAGUCCACGCCCUAAACGAUGUCAACUAGUUGUUGGGGAUUCAUUUCCUUGAGUAACGUAGCUAACGCGUGAAGUUGACC